Molecule: transfer RNA, 79 nt
Filed under: Streptomyces spongiicola
Lineage: Bacteria; Bacillati; Actinomycetota; Actinomycetes; Kitasatosporales; Streptomycetaceae
Description: tRNA-Glu
Source: RNAcentral
CGGCCGCUGGACGACGGUGCGCGUUCGGCCCGUUCCCGGCCGCUGCACGACGGUGCGCGUUCGGCCCGUUCCCGGCCGC